This 492-nucleotide ribosomal RNA is filed under the name uncultured bacterium. Its description in RNAcentral is "partial 16S ribosomal RNA". It matches the Rfam family "Bacterial small subunit ribosomal RNA", at positions 29 to 507 of the family's 1533-position model. The record is from RNAcentral.
AGUGAACGCUGGCGGUAGGCCUAACACAUGCAAGUCGAACGGCAGCACAGUAAGAGCUUGCUCUUACGGGUGGCGAGUGGCGGACGGGUGAGGAAUACAUCGGAAUCUACUUUUUCGUGGGGGAUAACGUAGGGAAACUUACGCUAAUACCGCAUACGACCUACGGGUGAAAGCAGGGGAUCUUCGGACCUUGCGCGAUUGAAUGAGCCGAUGUCGGAUUAGCUAGUUGGCGGGGUAAAGGCCCACCUAGGCGACGAUCCGUAGCUGGUCUGAGAGGAUGAUCAGCCACACCGGAACUGAGAAAAGGUCCAGACUCCUAAGGGAGGCAGCAGUGGGGAAUAUUGGACAAUGGGCGCAAGCCUGAUCCAGCCAUACCGCGUGGGUGAAGAAGGCCUUCGGGUUGUAAAGCCCUUUUGUUGGGAAAGAAAAGCAGCAGGUUAAUACCCCGCUGUUCUGACGGUACCCAAAGAAUAAGCACCGGCUAACUUCGUG